CUACGGGUGGCUCCAGUAGGGAAUAUUGCACCAUGGGCGAAAGCCUGAUGCAGCAACGCCGCGUGAGCGAUGAAGGCCCUCGGGUCGUAAAGCUCUUUUCAAGGGGAAGAGGAAGGACGGUACCCUUGGAAUAAGUCUCGGCUAACUACGUGCCAGCAGCCGCGGUAAAACGUAGGAGGCGAGCGUUAUCCGGAUUUACUGGGCGUAAAGCGCGUGUAGGCGGUACGGAAAGUUGGAUGUGAAAGCUCCUGGCUUAACUGGGAGAGGUCGUUCAAAACUUCCGAACUAGAGUAUGGUAGAGGAAAAUGGAAUUCCGGGUGUAGUGGUGAAAUGCGUAGAUAUCCGGAGGAACACCAGAGGCGAAAGCGAUUUUCUAGGCCAAAACUGACGCUCAGACGCGAAAGCUAGGGUAGCAAACGGGAUUAGAUACCCCCGUAGUC
Molecule: ribosomal RNA, 440 nt
Filed under: uncultured bacterium
Lineage: Bacteria
Description: partial 16S ribosomal RNA
Rfam family: Bacterial small subunit ribosomal RNA
Source: RNAcentral